CCAUCUGUGGAGAUAUUCAAAGCCUGAACAAAAUCUGAGGCAAUCUGCUAUAACUGACCCUGCUCGAGCAGGUUGGUUGGUCUGGAAAGAAGCUAGACAUGCUGACAAGGUUCCAGGACAGCAACUAAAUGCCUUGGUAAAUUUAAAUGUGUGAAUAUUCCCAGCAGAAGGUGAUUCUGUUGUCUGUUAAAAAGAAGUAAAUCUGCAGUAUGUAGGAAGACAGAACAUGGGAACUAAGAAAAAAAAAACAGCUCUUUGAAAAUUUUUUGAAAACCUACUGAAAAUGUAUUUAGAAACUGGAAGAUUUUUAGAAAUUGGAAGAUUCUGGAAUCAGAGAGCACAAUGAGCCAAAAGAUGAAUCUAGAACGAGUGAUGUAACGAAUGGGGCCCUCCAAUCUCUGAGCAGCAUCAAAGUACUAGAGGUUGCUAGAUAAUGCUGUUCCAGACUCUGUAAAAAAAGCAGUGACUGCUGGUGAUUUUCUUUAAACAACAGCUCUAGACUGGCUUAAUUUUGUAAUGUCUUAGUGGACGUUUUUGCACAAUAGGGGAUAUACACUGCAGCAAAAAAAUCUCCAUUGUUACAGCUGUGUUUGGAAUUCCAGCAAUAUAUAUCAGUUUCAUCAAUAAACCUGUUGUCAA
This is a long non-coding RNA of Chiroxiphia lanceolata (lance-tailed manakin), 639 nucleotides long. RefSeq lists it as uncharacterized. The transcript has 3 exons. NCBI's taxonomy places the organism in Eukaryota, Metazoa, Chordata, Aves, Passeriformes, Pipridae. The record is from RefSeq and is a predicted model, not a curated record.